GUUGAGUAUAGUAGUUUUAACAACAAGAUAUAAUAUGUUAUUGUGCUCAUACAAAAUAUUUAGUUUCGGCCCCCAAAAAUGUAAUCAAAGCUCUACCACUUGGGGGGAGGGGGGCAGCAGGGCGGCAGGGAAGAGGAUAAAGAAGUUAUACAAGCAUGCCAAUUGCAAGAAAAAAAAUGGAAAUUAUUGACCAAAAUUCCACAAAAU
This 207-nucleotide unclassified non-coding RNA is filed under the name Hevea brasiliensis (rubber tree). Lineage: Eukaryota; Viridiplantae; Streptophyta; Magnoliopsida; Malpighiales; Euphorbiaceae. The record is from RNAcentral.